CAUAUGAUUAGAGGUUGCGUGAAUCAUGAGUCACCUUGAGGACAGCCCACAGCUGGAUGAGCCAAGGUAAAAGGGAUGAGCGCCGAAGUGAGACCCGAGUGGAAGGGGAUUGCUGGGCCAGGCAUGAAUAAUGACUGGACUGUCGCAGGAAUGCGGAGCGCUAACAUGACG
Molecule: regulatory RNA element, 171 nt
Rfam family: Lysine riboswitch aptamer
About the family: Riboswitches are metabolite binding domains within certain messenger RNAs that serve as precision sensors for their corresponding targets. Allosteric rearrangement of mRNA structure is mediated by ligand binding, and this results in modulation of gene expression.
Source: Rfam